RNAcentral lists this ribosomal RNA (484 nucleotides) under uncultured bacterium. RNAcentral describes it as "partial 16S ribosomal RNA". It matches the Rfam family "Bacterial small subunit ribosomal RNA", at positions 30 to 507 of the family's 1533-position model. The record is from RNAcentral.
AUUGAACGCUGGCGGCAUGCCUUACACAUGCAAGUCGAACGGCAGCGCGGGAGCAAUCCUGGCGGCGAGUGGCGAACGGGUGAGUAAUACAUCGGAACGUGCCCAAUCGUGGGGGAUAACGCAGCGAAAGCUGUGCUAAUACCGCAUACGAUCUACGGAUGAAAGCAGGGGAUCGCAAGACCUUGCGCGAAUGGAGCGGCCGAUGGCAGAUUAGGUAGUUAGUGAGGUAAAGGCUCACCAAGCCUUCGAUCUGUAGCUGGUCUGAGAGGACGACCAGCCACACUGGGACUGAGACACGGCCCAGACUCCUACGGGAGGCAGCAGUGGGGAAUUUUGGACAAUGGGCGAAAGCCUGAUCCAGCCAUGCCGCGUGCAGGAUGAAGGCCUUCGGGUUGUAAACUGCUUUUGUACGGAACGAAACGGUCUUUUCUAAUAAAGAAGGCUAAUGACGGUACCGUAAGAAUAAGCACCGGCUAACUACGUG